This 497-nucleotide ribosomal RNA is filed under the name uncultured bacterium. RNAcentral's name for it is "partial 16S ribosomal RNA". It matches the Rfam family "Bacterial small subunit ribosomal RNA", at positions 28 to 507 of the family's 1533-position model. The record is from RNAcentral.
GAUGAACGCUGGCGGCGUGCCUAAUACAUGCAAGUCGAGCGAACAGACGAGGAGCUUGCUCCUCUGACGUUAGCGGCGGACGGGUGAGUAACACGUGGAUAACCUACCUAUAAGACUGGGAUAACUUCGGGAAACCGGAGCUAAUACCGGAUAAUAUAUUGAACCGCAUGGUUCAAUAGUGAAAGACGGUUUUGCUGUCACUUAUAGAUGGAUCCGCGCCGCAUUAGCUAGUUGGUAAGGUAACGGCUUACCAAGGCAACGAUGCGUAGCCGACCUGCGAGGGUGAUCGGCCACACUGGAACUGAGACACGGUCCAGACUCCUACGGGAGGCAGCAGUAGGGAAUCUUCCGCAAUGGGCGAAAGCCUGACGGAGCAACGCCGCGUGAGUGAUCAAGGUCUUCGGAUCGUAAAACUCUGUUAUUAGGGAAGAACAAAUGUGUAAGUAACUAUGCACGUCUUGACGGUACCUAAUCAGAAAGUCACGGCUAACUACGUG